GGGUUGUGAGGUUAAGCGACUAAGCGUACACGGUGGAUGCCCUGGCAGUCAGAGGCGAUGAAGGGCGUGCUAAUCUGCGAUAAGCGCCGGUAAGGUGAUAUGAACCGUUAUAACCGGCGAUACCCGAAUGGGGAAACCCAGUGUGACUCGUCACACUAUCAUUAACUGAAUCCAUAGGUUAAUGAGGCGAACCGGGGGAACUGAAACAUCUAAGUACCCCGAGGAAAAGAAAUCAACCGAGAUUCCCCCAGUAGCGGCGAGCGAACGGGGAGGAGCCCAGAGCCUGAAUCAGCAUGUGUGUUAGUGGAAGCGUCUGGAAAGGCGCGCGAUACAGGGUGACAGCCCCGUACACAAAAGCGCAUGUGCUGUGAGCUCGAUGAGUAGGGCGGGACACGUGGUAUCCUGUCUGAAUAUGGGGGGACCAUCCUCCAAGGCUAAAUACUCCUGACUGACCGAUAGUGAACCAGUACCGUGAGGGAAAGGCGAAAAGAACCCCGGCGAGGGGAGUGAAAAAGAACCUGAAACCGUGUACGUACAAGCAGUGGGAGCCCCACCACCAAAGCAUUUGCUGUACCGCGUUGACGGAGCGAAGCGACGUCAAACCGAUAAAACAGCAGUGUAAAGUGAGCCGCAGGGCGCUUUGCGCGACAGCGCAAAGGCAGGCGG
Molecule: ribosomal RNA, 666 nt
Filed under: Salmonella enterica
Lineage: Bacteria; Pseudomonadati; Pseudomonadota; Gammaproteobacteria; Enterobacterales; Enterobacteriaceae
Also listed under: 1 other name
Description: partial 23S ribosomal RNA
Rfam family: Bacterial large subunit ribosomal RNA
Source: RNAcentral